Molecule: ribosomal RNA, 263 nt
Filed under: uncultured Phyllobacterium sp.
Lineage: Bacteria; Pseudomonadati; Pseudomonadota; Alphaproteobacteria; Hyphomicrobiales; Phyllobacteriaceae
Description: partial 16S ribosomal RNA
Rfam family: Bacterial small subunit ribosomal RNA
Source: RNAcentral
GAGAGUUUGAUCCUGGCUCAGAACGAACGCUGGCGGCAGGCUUAACACAUGCAAGUCGAGCGCCCCGCAAGGGGAGCGGCAGACGGGUGAGUAACGCGUGGGAAUCUACCCAUCUCUACGGAAUAACGCAUGGAAACGUGUGCUAAUACCGUAUACGUCCUUCGGGAGAAAGAUUUAUCGGAGAUGGAUGAGCCCGCGUUGGAUUAGCUAGUUGGUGGGGUAAAGGCCUACCAAGGCGACGAUCCAUAGCUGGUCUGAGAGGA